AAUAGAUGCUCAGAUGCAGGAAACUUGGCUUGUAGUGGAAAGCACUGAUGCCAAUUCAGCUGACCAGGUUGUUGGUUUUGUCUCAUGCUGUGCCUUCUAACAUCAGGCAACAAAUUCCCUUGGGAAAGAUCCUGAAGAUUAACAUUUAUCAUGUUGAGAUUUGGGCAGCACCUCAUCAAGCCCUCGGUGGUAUUCCUGAGGACGGAGCUCUCCUUUGCCCUUGUGAACCGGAAGCCAGUGGUCCCAGGGCGUAUCCUUUCAACCAGAGCCUCAGUCAGGAGUGCGUAUGGGCCGCUCAGCGUUCUGUGGAAAAGAGGGAGGCACUCUUUGCGUUCUGAAGGCCAGGUAGGAUGUUAAUCAGAUUUAUUCUGAAACCAGUCAGUGGAACGUAAUACGCUUGAUCGAUGUUGCAGAACUUCUGAAAACGGUUGCUUAGCGACGGUGACCUUAGAGGUGAAUUUCUAUUGACCUUUUCACCACAGAAGAUGUAUAAACAACCAGGUGCUACUAAAAGCGUUUUUAAGUGCAUCUGAG
RNAcentral lists this long non-coding RNA (534 nucleotides) under Struthio camelus australis. RNAcentral's name for it is "lncRNA (ENSSCUG00000008788.1)". Lineage: Eukaryota; Metazoa; Chordata; Aves; Struthioniformes; Struthionidae. The record is from RNAcentral.